UGCAGUCGAACGGGCUCUUCGGAGCUAGUGGCGGACGGGUGAGUAACGCGUGAGAAUCUGCCUUCAGGUUGGGGACAACAGUUGGAAACGACUGCUAAUACCCAAUGUGCCGAGAGGUGAAAGCUUUAGUGCCUGAAGAUGAGCUCGCGUCUGAUUAGCUAGUUGGUGGGGUAAUGGCCUACCAAGGCGACGAUCAGUAGCUGGUCUGAGAGGAUGAUCAGCCACACUGGGACUGAGACACGGCCCAGACUCCUACGGGAGGCAGCAGUGGGGAAUUUUCCGCAAUGGGCGCAAGCCUGACGGAGCAAGACCGCGUGAGGGAGGAAGGCUCUUGGGUUGUAAACCUCUUUUAUCAGGGAAGAAGUUCUGACGGUACCUGAUGAAUCAGCAUCGGCUAACUCCGUGCCAGCAGCCGCGGUAAUACGGAGGAUGCAAGCGUUAUCCGGAUUUAUUGGGCGUAAAGCGUCCGCAGGUGGUUGUUCAAGUCUGCUGUUAAAGCGCGAGGCUUAACCUUGUACAGGCAGUGGAAACUGGACGACUUGAGUAUGGUAGGGGUAGCGGGAAUUCCCAGUGUAGCGGUGAAAUGCGUAGAUAUUGGGAAGAACACCAGCGGCGAAAGCGCGCUACUGGGCCAUAACUGACACUCAUGGACGAAAGCUAGGGGAGCGAAAGGGAUUAGAUACCCCUGUAGUCCUAGCUGUAAACGAUGGGUACUAGGUGUUGACCGUAUCGACCCGGUCAGUGCCGUAGCUAACGCGUUAAGUACCCCGCCUGGGGAGUAUGCACGCAAGUGUGAAACUCAAAGGAAUUGACGGGGGCCCGCACAAGCGGUGGAGUAUGUGGUUUAUUCGAUGCACGCGAAAACCUUACCAGGGCUUGA
This 880-nucleotide ribosomal RNA is filed under the name uncultured bacterium. Its description in RNAcentral is "bacterial SSU rRNA". It matches the Rfam family "Bacterial small subunit ribosomal RNA", at positions 56 to 984 of the family's 1533-position model. The record is from RNAcentral.